AUGUCUACUGGCUAUAGAGAGGAGAAGAAGGAGGAAAGAUCUUGGUCUCCAAAGUCUGAUCUGCAGGACUCCCACAUAGUUAACUGGGUGCGUUUCACAUUUAUCUGCCUUAGCUGGGGCUCUGAGUCACCCUUGUUUAGUACUGAAUCUGCGCCUUCACAGACUCUCAUGCUUCACAACGCUGAGUUCUGCAGAAGGCCUUCCUCUCUCCCAUGCAGGGGAUCUCGAAGUCAUCACUAUCAGACAGAGGGAAACGAGGAGGCUGCAGGAGGACGAUUAACCUGUGUUACACUUGAGUAAACCCAGAUUAAGAAACAAAGGAGCAAAAAGUGUGAAUUCAAAAAGUGGUUACACAAGCUCGUGGAAGAUCAGUCGAAAAAUUCAGCUGUCCCCAAACAGCCGCAAACUCAGAAAGUCCCUGAAACCCAAGUUACCAAAAGCCAGGAAGGCAUACCAGUGUCCUAUUCUUAUACGGCUUCCCGAACUAGCCACUGUCAGAGACAGGGUACUGGGCUAGAGGGAAUUUUGGUUUGGCCCAGAACAGACUUUCUUAUAUUAGCAGAAGUUGUUGAGGAUCUCUUGCUAAUCUUUAAUGAGAGCAGCCUUGCACCACCAGGGCAAAGCCAUGCAGACAACCGAUUCCUGCUCGCUUGCUUUGACCUCUCACCCUCACCAUCUUGCCCUCUCACAUGCUUCUGAAAGUCUGAAACACAGCAAAAGCUAUUGGUACAACAUACAUCCUAGGAGUAAACUUGGUGAAAGGAGUGCCACACCUGGAACCUAGUGUCCCUUUCCUGCAUUCACAGCUCUUGGUGUUUGAAUGCGGCUGCACAGGGUUAAAGCUUACUUGGUGUAUGGUCAUUCAAGACCCAAAUGGAUCAGCAUCUCUGGUGCUCCCACCUGUCUGCUCACACUGCUUCUUGUCCAGAGCCAUCCAUGAGAUGCCGCUGCACACACUGCGUGCACUAGUGCACAAGAGAAGAAACAACACACAGCUGCCUUCUUAUAAUUACCAUCCAUCACUCUACCUGCAGAUAGGGAAACGAAUAAAACAGCUUUCCUCUUUUCUCCUCA
This 1074-nucleotide long non-coding RNA is filed under the name Anas platyrhynchos platyrhynchos (common mallard). RNAcentral's name for it is "lncRNA (ENSAPLG00000030889.1)". The record is from RNAcentral. Lineage: Eukaryota; Metazoa; Chordata; Aves; Anseriformes; Anatidae.